UACGAAGGGGGCUAGCGUUGCUCGGAAUGACUGGGCGUAAAGGGCGCGUAGGCGGAUCCCGCCGUCGGGCGUGAAAUCCCCGGGCUCAACCCGGGGCGGUCGCCCGAGACUCGGGGUCUGGAGUGGGGGAGAGGGUCGCGGAAUUCCCAGUGUAGAGGUGAAAUUCGUAGAUAUUGGGAAGAACACCGGUGGCGAAGGCGGCGACCUGGCCCUUGACUGACGCUGAGGCGCGACAGCGUGGGGAGCAAACAGG
Molecule: ribosomal RNA, 253 nt
Filed under: uncultured bacterium
Lineage: Bacteria
Description: partial 16S ribosomal RNA
Rfam family: Bacterial small subunit ribosomal RNA
Source: RNAcentral